Molecule: non-coding RNA, 31 nt
Filed under: Mus musculus (house mouse)
Lineage: Eukaryota; Metazoa; Chordata; Mammalia; Rodentia; Muridae
Source: RNAcentral
UAACUGGGAUUCAAGUUCUGCCUCUAAGAGU